RNAcentral lists this ribosomal RNA (411 nucleotides) under uncultured bacterium. RNAcentral describes it as "partial 16S ribosomal RNA". It matches the Rfam family "Bacterial small subunit ribosomal RNA", at positions 355 to 758 of the family's 1533-position model. The record is from RNAcentral.
UGGGGAAUUUUGGACAAUGGGCGAAAGCCUGAUCCAGCAAUGCCGCGUGUGUGAAGAAGGCCUUCGGGUUGUAAAGCACUUUUGUCCGGAAAGAAAUCCUUGGCUCUAAUACAGUCGGGGGAUGACGGUACCGGAAGAAUAAGCACCGGCUAACUACGUGCCAGCAGCCGCGGUAAUACGUAGGGUGCAAGCGUUAAUCGGAAUUACUGGGCGUAAAGCGUGCGCAGGCGGUUUGCUAAGACCGAUNUGAAAUCCCCGGGCUCAACCUGGGAACUGCAUUGGUGACUGGCAGGCUAGAGUAUGGCAGAGGGGGGUAGAAUUCCACGUGUAGCAGUGAAAUGCGUAGAGAUGUGGAGGAAUACCGAUGGCGAAGGCAGCCCCCUGGGCCAAUACUGACGCUCAUGCACGAAA